UACGUAGGUGGCAAGCGUUGUCCGGAUUUACUGGGCGUAAAGAGCGCGCAGGCGGUCGUUCAAGUCGCGUGUGAAAGCCCCCGGCUCAACUGGGGAGGGUCAUUCGAUACUGUUCGACUCGAAGGCAGGAGAGGGAAGUGGAAUUCCCGGUGUAGUGGUGAAAUGCGUAGAUAUCGGGAGGAACACCAGUGGCGAAGGCGACUUCCUGGCCUGUUCUUGACGCUGAGGCGCGAAAGCUAGGGGAGCAAACGGG
Molecule: ribosomal RNA, 253 nt
Filed under: uncultured bacterium
Lineage: Bacteria
Description: partial 16S ribosomal RNA
Rfam family: Bacterial small subunit ribosomal RNA
Source: RNAcentral